Molecule: ribosomal RNA, 496 nt
Filed under: uncultured bacterium
Lineage: Bacteria
Description: partial 16S ribosomal RNA
Rfam family: Bacterial small subunit ribosomal RNA
Source: RNAcentral
AUGAACGCUGGCGGCGUGCCUAAUACAUGCACGUCGAGCGAACGGACGAGAAGCUUGCUUCUCUGAUGUUAGCGGCGGACGGGUGAGUAACACGUGGAUAACCUACCUAUAAGACUGGGAUAACUUCGGGAAACCGGAACUAAUACCGGAUGAUAUUUUGAACCGCAUGGUUCAAAAGUGAAAGACGGUCUUGCUGUCACUUAUAGAUGGAUCCGCGCUGCAUUAGCUAGUUGGUAAGGUAACGGCUUACCAAGGCAACGAUGCAUAGCCGACCUGAGAGGGUGAUCGGCCACACUGGAACUGAGACACGGUCCAGACUCCUACGGGAGGCAGCAGUAGGGAAUCUUCCGCAAUGGGCGAAAGCCUGACGGAGCAACGCCGCGUGAGUGAUGAAGGUCUUCGGAUCGUAAAACUCUGUUAUUAGGGAAGAACAUAUGUGUAAGUAACUGUGCACAUCUUGACGGUACCUAAUCAGAAAGCCACGGCUAACUACGUG